UUCACUUUUAUUUUAACAUCAUCUUAAUAAAAUUUUUAAAUCUGUUCUUAUCAGUUUAAUAUCUGAUCUGUCCUUUAUUUGAGGACUGUAUGUUAAAUUGGUUUUUGAAACAGGGGGCUGGAAUAGGAGCUUGCUCUGUCCACCUCAGGCAUUGACCUGGUAUUGCAGUGUCUCUGGGAAGGGUGUAUCUCCU
Molecule: small nuclear RNA, 193 nt
Organism: Terrapene triunguis (Three-toed box turtle)
Lineage: Eukaryota; Metazoa; Chordata; Testudines; Emydidae
Gene: U2
Rfam family: U2 spliceosomal RNA
About the family: U2 is a small nuclear RNA (snRNA) component of the spliceosome (involved in pre-mRNA splicing).
Source: Ensembl